GACCGCGUAGCUCAGUUGGCAGAGCAUUGGGCUAGCAUUCCAAAGGUCGUAGGUUUGAUUCCCACCGUGGCCA
This 73-nucleotide transfer RNA is filed under the name Paramuricea clavata. It matches the Rfam family "tRNA". From Rfam's summary of the family: Transfer RNA (tRNA) molecules are approximately 80 nucleotides in length. Their secondary structure includes four short double-helical elements and three loops (D, anti-codon, and T loops). Further hydrogen bonds mediate the characteristic L-shaped molecular structure. tRNAs have two regions of fundamental functional importance: the anti-codon, which is responsible for specific mRNA codon recognition, and the 3' end, to which the tRNAs corresponding amino acid is attached (by aminoacyl-tRNA synthetases). tRNAs cope with the degeneracy of the genetic code in two manners: having more than one tRNA (with a specific anti-codon) for a particular amino acid; and 'wobble' base-pairing, i.e. permitting non-standard base-pairing at the 3rd anti-codon position. The record is from Rfam by way of RNAcentral. Lineage: Eukaryota; Metazoa; Cnidaria; Anthozoa; Malacalcyonacea; Plexauridae.